RNAcentral lists this ribosomal RNA (1440 nucleotides) under uncultured organism. RNAcentral describes it as "SSU rRNA". It matches the Rfam family "Bacterial small subunit ribosomal RNA". The record is from RNAcentral.
AUCUACAGGCUUAACACAUGCAAGUCGAGGGGCAGCAUUUCAGUUUGCUUGCAAACUGGAGAUGGCGACCGGCGCACGGGUGAGUAACACGUAUCCAACCUGCCGAUAACUCGGGGAUAGCCUUUCGAAAGAAAGAUUAAUACCCGAUGGUAUAAUCAGACCGCAUGGUCUUGUUAUUAAAGAAUUUCGGUUAUCGAUGGGGAUGCGUUCCAUUAGGCAGUUGGUGAGGUAACGGCUCACCAAACCUUCGAUGGAUAGGGGUUCUGAGAGGAAGGUCCCCCACAUUGGAACUGAGACACGGUCCAAACUCCUACGGGAGGCAGCAGUGAGGAAUAUUGGUCAAUGGGCGCAGGCCUGAACCAGCCAAGUAGCGUGAAGGAUGACUGCCCUAUGGGUUGUAAACUUCUUUUAUAUGGGAAUAAAGUUUUCCACGUGUGGAAUUUUGUAUGUACCAUAUGAAUAAGGAUCGGCUAACUCCGUGCCAGCAGCCGCGGUAAUACGGAGGAUCCGAGCGUUAUCCGGAUUUAUUGGGUUUAAAGGGAGCGUGGGUGGACAGUUAAGUCAGUUGUGAAAGUUUGCGGCUCAACCGUAAAAUUGCAGUUGAUACUGGCUGUCUUGAGUACAGUAGAGGUGGGCGGAAUUCGUGGUGUAGCGGUGAAAUGCCUAGAUAUCACGAAGAACUCCGAUUGCGAAGGCAGCUCACUGGACUGCAACUGACACUGAUGCUCGAAAGUGUGGGUAUCAAACAGGAUUAGAUACCCUGGUAGUCCACACAGUAAACGAUGAAUACUCGCUGUUUGCGAUAUACAGUAAGCGGCCAAGCGAAAGCAUUAAGUAUUCCAUCUGGGGAGUACGCCGGCAACGGUGAAACUCAAAGGAAUUGACGGGGGCCCGCACAAGCGGAGGAACAUGUGGUUUAACUCGAUGAUACGCGAGGAACCUUACCCGGGCUUAAAUUGCAUUUGAAUAUAUUGGAAACAGUAUAGCCGUAAGGCAAAUGUGAAGGUGCUGCAUGGUUGUCGUCAGCUCGUGCCGUGAGGUGUCGGCUUAAGUGCCAUAACGAGCGCAACCCUUAUCUUUAGUUACUAACAGGUCAUGCUGAGGACUCUAGAGAGACUGCCGUCGUAAGAUGUGAGGAAGGUGGGGAUGACGUCAAAUCAGCACGGCCCUUACGUCCGGGGCUACACACGUGUUACAAUGGGGGGUACAGAAGGCAGCUACCUGGUGACAGGAUGCUAAUCCCAAAAGCCUCUCUCAGUUCGGAUCGAAGUCUGCAACCCGACUUCGUGAAGCUGGAUUCGCUAGUAAUCGCGCAUCAGCCAUGGCGCGGUGAAUACGUUCCCGGGCCUUGUACACACCGCCCGUCAAGCCCUGAAAGCCGGGGGUACCUGAAGUACGUAACCGCAAGGAGCGUCCUAGGGUAAAACUGGUAAUUGGGGC